AUCUAAAUAGCUUAAAUUAAAGAGUUUGAUAUUGAAGAUAUUAAGGUGAUCUAAUGAUCUUUAGAUA
Molecule: transfer RNA, 67 nt
Filed under: Vagrans egista
Lineage: Eukaryota; Metazoa; Arthropoda; Insecta; Lepidoptera; Nymphalidae
Description: tRNA-Phe
Source: RNAcentral